GUUGAAGGUGCUGGAUUUGAUGACGAGAAGUCACUCCUAAUGUCACAAAUGAGCCUGGAAAAAAGGUUUGGCCAGUCUGCUGUUUUUGUUGCUUCCACACUUAUGGAGAAUGGUGGUGUUCCUCAGUCUGCAACACCAGAGAAUCUUCUUAAAGAGGCUAUUCAUGUUAUCAGCUGUGGGUAUGAGGAUAAAACAGAUUGGGGAAGUGAGAUUGGAUGGAUUUAUGGUUCUGUUACAGAAGAUAUUCUCACUGGAUUUAAGAUGCAUGCACGUGGUUGGCGAUCAAUUUACUGCAUGCCGAAGCUUCCAGCCUUUAAAGGGUCUGCUCCAAUUAAUCUUUCAGAUCGUUUGAACCAAGUGCUUCGAUGGGCUUUAGGUUCUGUGGAAAUUCUUCUUAGUCGUCAUUGUCCCAUUUGGUAUGGUUAUGGUGGUAGAUUAAAAUGGCUCGAGAGGUUUGCAUAUGUAAACACCACCAUUUAUCCAGUCACAGCCAUUCCUCUUCUCGUGUACUGCACACUUCCAGCUGUUUGUCUACUUACGAACAAGUUCAUUAUUCCACAGAUUAGUAAUCUUGCAAGUAUCUGGUUUAUCUCUCUCUUUCUUUCAAUCUUUGCAACUGGCAUUUUGGAGAUGAGAUGGAGUGGCGUUGGAAUCGACGAAUGGUGGAGAAACGAACAGUUUUGGGUUAUUGGAGGAGUUUC
Molecule: unclassified non-coding RNA, 701 nt
Filed under: Hevea brasiliensis (rubber tree)
Lineage: Eukaryota; Viridiplantae; Streptophyta; Magnoliopsida; Malpighiales; Euphorbiaceae
Source: RNAcentral